UCACCAGCAGCUUUAGCAGGGGAAACACCUCCUCGUGCCACAGAUGCCGCUGCCCAAGCCAGACAGGCCAAAGCCCCCGGAGUUGAUGGGCACUCCCUGAGAGCUGAGGAUGCUGCCAACGGCAGCGGAGGUGGAGGAGCCCACGGCGGUGUUCUGCGGGAAGGA
Long non-coding RNA from Columba livia (rock pigeon), 165 nucleotides. RefSeq lists it as uncharacterized. The record is from RefSeq and is a predicted model, not a curated record. Lineage: Eukaryota; Metazoa; Chordata; Aves; Columbiformes; Columbidae. The transcript has 2 exons.